GUGCUAAUACCGGAUAAGUCCUUACGGAGAAAGUUUUAAUGCCAAAAGAUGAGCCCGCAUUUGAUUAGCUAGUUGGUGAGGUAAGAGCUCACCAAGGCGAUAAUCAAUAGCUGAUUUGAGAGGAUGAUCAGCCACACUGGGACUGAGAUACGGCCCAGACUCCUACGGGAGGCAGCAGUGGGGAAUCUUGCACAAUGGGCGAAAGCCUGAUGCAGCGAUGCCGCGUGAGUGAAGAAGGCCUUUGGGUUGUAAAGCUCUUUUGUCGGGAAAGAUAAUGACUGUACCCGAAGAAUAAGGUCCGGCUAACUUCGUGCCAGCAGCCGCGGUAAUACGAAGGGACCUAGCGUAGUUCGGAAUUACUGGGCGUAAAGAGUAUGUAGGCGGCUAGAUAAGUUAAUUGUGAAAGCCCAAAGCUUAACUUUGGAAUUGCAAUUAAAACUAUUUAGCUAGAGUAUGAUAGAGGAAAGCGGAAUACAUAGUGUAGAGGUGAAAUUCGUAGAUAUUAUGUAGAACACCAGUUGCGAAGGCGGCUUUCUGGAUCAUUACUGACGCUGAGAUACGAAAGUAUGGGUAGCGAAGAGGAUUAGAUACCCUCGUAGUCCAUACCAUAAACGAUGAUUAUUAGAUGUGGGGAAUUAUUUCUCUGUAUCAUAGCUAACGCGUUAAAUAAUCCGCCUGGGGAGUACGACCGCAAGGUUAAAACUCAAAUGAAUUGACGGGGACCCGCACAAGCGGUGGAGCAUGUGGUUUAAUUCGAAGCAACGCGCAGAACCUUACCAACCCUUGACAUGUUCGUCGCGAGACUAAGAAAUUAGUCUCUUCGGUUCGGCCGGACGAAACACAGGUGCUGCAUGGCUGUCGUCAGCUCGUGUCGUGAGAUGUUGGGUUAAGUCCCGCAACGAGCGCAACCCUCACUUUUAGUUGCCAUCAUUAAGUUGGGCACUCUGAAAGAACUGCCAGUGAUAAGCUGGAGGAAGGUGGGGAUGACGUCAAGUCCUCAUGGCCCUUACGUGUUGGGCUACACACGUGCUACAAUGGUAUCUACAACAGGAAGCAAGACUGCGAAGUUAAGCAAAUCCCUAAAAGAUACCUCAGUUCGGAUUGCACUCUGCAACUCGAGUGCAUGAAGCUGGAAUUACUAGUAAUCGUGGAUCAGCGUGCCACGGUGAAUGCGUUCCCGGGUCUUGUACACACCGCCCGUCACACCAUGG
Molecule: ribosomal RNA, 1211 nt
Filed under: uncultured bacterium
Lineage: Bacteria
Description: bacterial SSU rRNA
Rfam family: Bacterial small subunit ribosomal RNA
Source: RNAcentral